This 484-nucleotide ribosomal RNA is filed under the name uncultured bacterium. RNAcentral's name for it is "partial 16S ribosomal RNA". It matches the Rfam family "Bacterial small subunit ribosomal RNA", at positions 29 to 507 of the family's 1533-position model. The record is from RNAcentral.
AUUGAACGCUGGCGGCAUGCCUUACACAUGCAAGUCGAACGGCAGCACGGGAGCAAUCCUGGUGGCGAGUGGCGAACGGGUGAGUAAUACAUCGGAACGUGCCCAGUAGUGGGGGAUAACCCGGCGAAAGCCGGACUAAUACCGCAUACGACCUACGGGUGAAAGCGGGGGAUCGCAAGACCUCGCGCUAUCGGAGCGGCCGAUGUCAGAUUAGCUAGUUGGUGGGGUAAAGGCCUACCAAGGCGACGAUCUGUAGCUGGUCUGAGAGGACGACCAGCCACACUGGGACUGAGACACGGCCCAGACUCCUACGGGAGGCAGCAGUGGGGAAUUUUGGACAAUGGGCGCAAGCCUUAUCCAGCCAUGCCGCGUGCGGGAAGAAGGCCUUCGGGUUGUAAACCGCUUUUGUCAGGGAAGAAACGCUCCGGGCUAAUACCACGGAGUAAUGACGGUACCUGAAGAAUAAGCACCGGCUAACUACGUG